RNAcentral lists this ribosomal RNA (595 nucleotides) under uncultured Ascomycota. RNAcentral describes it as "eukaryotic LSU rRNA". The stretch from base 217 to 370 matches the Rfam family "5.8S ribosomal RNA". The record is from RNAcentral. Lineage: Eukaryota; Fungi; Ascomycota.
CUUGGUCAUUUAGAGGAAGUAAAAGUCGUAACAAGGUCUCCGUUGGUGAACCAGCGGAGGGAUCAUUACCGAGUUUACAACUCCCAAACCCCUGUGAACAUACCAAUUGUUGCCUCGGCGGAUCAGCCCGCUCCCGGUAAAACGGAACGGCCCGCCAGAGGACCCCUAAACUCUGUUUCUAUAUGUAACUUCUGAGUAAAACCAUAAAUAAAUCAAAACUUUCAACAACGGAUCUCUUGGUUCUGGCAUCGAUGAAGAACGCAGCAAAAUGCGGUAAGUAAUGUGAAUUGCAGAAUUCAGUGAAUCAUCGAAUCUUUGAACGCACAUUGCGCCCGCCAGUAUUCUGGCGGGCAUGCCUGUUCGAGCGUCAUUUCAACCCUCAAGCCCCCGGGUUUGGUGUUGGGGAUCGGCGAGCCUCACGGCAAGCCGGCCCCGAAAUACAGUGGCGGUCUCGCUGCAGCUUCCAUUGCGUAGUAGUAAAACCCUCGCAACUGGUACGCGGCGCGGCCAAGCCGUUAAACCCCCAACUUCUGAAUGUUGACCUCGGAUCAGGUAGGAAUACCCGCUGAACUUAAGCAUAUCAAUAAGCGGAGGA